UACGUAGGGUGCGAGCGUUGUCCGGAAUUAUUGGGCGUAAAGAGCUUGUAGGCGGUUUGUCGCGUCUGCUGUGAAAUUUCGGGGGCUCAACCCCCGAACUUGCAGUGGGUACGGGGCAGACUAGAGUGUGGUAGGGGGAGACUGGAAUUCCUGGUGUAGCGGUGAAAUGCGCAGAUAUCAGGAGGAACACCGAUGGCGAAGGCAGGUCUCUGGGCCACUACUGACGCUGAGAAGCGAAAGCAUGGGGAGCGAACAGG
This 257-nucleotide ribosomal RNA is filed under the name uncultured bacterium. RNAcentral's name for it is "partial 16S ribosomal RNA". It matches the Rfam family "Bacterial small subunit ribosomal RNA", at positions 524 to 776 of the family's 1533-position model. The record is from RNAcentral.